Molecule: ribosomal RNA, 519 nt
Filed under: uncultured bacterium
Lineage: Bacteria
Description: partial 16S ribosomal RNA
Rfam family: Bacterial small subunit ribosomal RNA
Source: RNAcentral
GACGAACGCUGGCGGCGUGCCUAAUACAUGCAAGUCGAGCGAGUCUGCCUUGAAGAUCGGAGUGCUUGCACUCUGUGAAACAAGAUACAGGCUAGCGGCGGACGUGUGAGUAACACGUGGGUAACCUGCCCAAGAGAUCGGGAUAACACCUGGAAACAGAUGCUAAUACCGGAUAACAACAGAUGAUGCCUAUCAACUGUUUAAAAGAUGGUUCUGCUAUCACUCUUGGAUGGACCUGCGGUGCAUUAGCUAGUUGGUAGGGUAACGGCCUACCAAGGCGAUGAUGCAUAGCCGAGUUGAGAGACUGAUCGGCCACAUUGGGACUGAGACACGGCCCAAACUCCUACGGGAGGCAGCAGUAGGGAAUCUUCCACAAUGGACGCAAGUCUGAUGGAGCAACGCCGCGUGAGUGAAGAAGGGUUUCGGCUCGUAAAGCUCUGUUGUUGGUGAAGAAGGACAGGGGUAGUAACUGACCUUUGUUUGACGGUAAUCAAUGAGAAAGUCACGGCUAACUACGUG